Molecule: ribosomal RNA, 3011 nt
Filed under: Salmonella enterica
Lineage: Bacteria; Pseudomonadati; Pseudomonadota; Gammaproteobacteria; Enterobacterales; Enterobacteriaceae
Also listed under: 2 other names
Description: bacterial LSU rRNA
Rfam family: Bacterial large subunit ribosomal RNA
Source: RNAcentral
GGGUUGUGAGGUUAAGCGACUAAGCGUACACGGUGGAUGCCCUGGCAGUCAGAGGCGAUGAAGGACGUGCUAAUCUGCGAUAAGCGCCGGUAAGGUGAUAUGAACCGUUAUAACCGGCGAUUUCCGAAUGGGGAAACCCAGUGUGACUCGUCACACUAUCAUUAACUGAAUCCAUAGGUUAAUGAGGCGAACCGGGGGAACUGAAACAUCUAAGUACCCCGAGGAAAAGAAAUCAACCGAGAUUCCCCCAGUAGCGGCGAGCGAACGGGGAGGAGCCCAGAGCCUGAAUCAGCAUGUGUGUUAGUGGAAGCGUCUGGAAAGGCGCGCGAUACAGGGUGACAGCCCCGUACACAAAAGCGCAUGUGCUGUGAGCUCGAUGAGUAGGGCGGGACACGUGGUAUCCUGUCUGAAUAUGGGGGGACCAUCCUCCAAGGCUAAAUACUCCUGACUGACCGAUAGUGAACCAGUACCGUGAGGGAAAGGCGAAAAGAACCCCGGCGAGGGGAGUGAAAAAGAACCUGAAACCGUGUACGUACAAGCAGUGGGAGCACAGGUUUACCUGUGUGACUGCGUACCUUUUGUAUAAUGGGUCAGCGACUUAUAUUCUGUAGCAAGGUUAACCGCAUAGGGGAGCCGCAGGGAAACCGAGUCUUAACCGGGCGUUAAGUUGCAGGGUAUAGACCCGAAACCCGGUGAUCUAGCCAUGGGCAGGUUGAAGGUUGGGUAACACUAACUGGAGGACCGAACCGACUAAUGUUGAAAAAUUAGCGGAUGACCUGUGGCUGGGGGUGAAAGGCCAAUCAAACCGGGAGAUAGCUGGUUCUCCCCGAAAGCUAUUUAGGUAGCGCCUCGUGAAUUCAUCUCCGGGGGUAGAGCACUGUUUCGGCUAGGGGGUCAUCCCGACUUACCAACCCGAUGCAAACUGCGAAUACCGGAGAAUGUUAUCACGGGAGACACACGGCGGGUGCUAACGUCCGUCGUGAAGAGGGAAACAACCCAGACCGCCAGCUAAGGUCCCAAAGUCAUGGUUAAGUGGGAAACGAUGUGGGAAGGCCCAGACAGCCAGGAUGUUGGCUUAGAAGCAGCCAUCAUUUAAAGAAAGCGUAAUAGCUCACUGGUCGAGUCGGCCUGCGCGGAAGAUGUAACGGGGCUAAACCAUGCACCGAAGCUGCGGCAGCGAACGUAUCACCCAAGACAACUUUGCGGAGUUGACGAUUGACGGAGCGAAGCGACGUCAAAGCGUUCAUUAAAGUCGAGUUGGCUUAGGGAUACGUUCGUUGGGUAGGGGAGCGUUCUGUAAGCCUGUGAAGGUGUGCUGUGAGGCAUGCUGGAGGUAUCAGAAGUGCGAAUGCUGACAUAAGUAACGAUAAAGCGGGUGAAAAGCCCGCUCGCCGGAAGACCAAGGGUUCCUGUCCAACGUUAAUCGGGGCAGGGUGAGUCGACCCCUAAGGCGAGGCCGAAAGGCGUAGUCGAUGGGAAACGGGUUAAUAUUCCCGUACUUGGUGUUACUGCGAAGGGGGGACGGAGAAGGCUAUGUUGGCCGGGCGACGGUUGUCCCGGUUUAAGCGUGUAGGCUGGUUUUCCAGGCAAAUCCGGAAAAUCAAGGCUGAGGCGUGACGACGAGGCACUACGGUGCUGAAGCAACAAAUGCCCUGCUUCCAGGAAAAGCCUCUAAGCAUCAGGUAACAUCAAAUCGUACCCCAAACCGACACAGGUGGUCAGGUAGAGAAUACCAAGGCGCUUGAGAGAACUCGGGUGAAGGAACUAGGCAAAAUGGUGCCGUAACUUCGGGAGAAGGCACGCUGACAUGUAGGUGAAGUGAUUUACUCAUGGAGCUGAAGUCAGUCGAAGAUACCAGCUGGCUGCAACUGUUUAUUAAAAACACAGCACUGUGCAAACACGAAAGUGGACGUAUACGGUGUGACGCCUGCCCGGUGCCGGAAGGUUAAUUGAUGGGGUCAGCGCAAGCGAAGCUCCUGAUCGAAGCCCCGGUAAACGGCGGCCGUAACUAUAACGGUCCUAAGGUAGCGAAAUUCCUUGUCGGGUAAGUUCCGACCUGCACGAAUGGCGUAAUGAUGGCCAGGCUGUCUCCACCCGAGACUCAGUGAAAUUGAACUCGCUGUGAAGAUGCAGUGUACCCGCGGCAAGACGGAAAGACCCCGUGAACCUUUACUAUAGCUUGACACUGAACAUUGAGCCUUGAUGUGUAGGAUAGGUGGGAGGCUUUGAAGCGUGGACGCCAGUCUGCGUGGAGCCGACCUUGAAAUACCACCCUUUAAUGUUUGAUGUUCUAACGUGGACCCGUUACCCGGGUUGCGGACAGUGUCUGGUGGGUAGUUUGACUGGGGCGGUCUCCUCCUAAAGAGUAACGGAGGAGCACGAAGGUUGGCUAAUCCUGGUCGGACAUCAGGAGGUUAGUGCAAUGGCAUAAGCCAGCUUGACUGCGAGCGUGACGGCGCGAGCAGGUGCGAAAGCAGGUCAUAGUGAUCCGGUGGUUCUGAAUGGAAGGGCCAUCGCUCAACGGAUAAAAGGUACUCCGGGGAUAACAGGCUGAUACCGCCCAAGAGUUCAUAUCGACGGCGGUGUUUGGCACCUCGAUGUCGGCUCAUCACAUCCUGGGGCUGAAGUAGGUCCCAAGGGUAUGGCUGUUCGCCAUUUAAAGUGGUACGCGAGCUGGGUUUAGAACGUCGUGAGACAGUUCGGUCCCUAUCUGCCGUGGGCGCUGGAGAACUGAGGGGGGCUGCUCCUAGUACGAGAGGACCGGAGUGGACGCAUCACUGGUGUUCGGGUUGUCAUGCCAAUGGCACUGCCCGGUAGCUAAAUGCGGAAGAGAUAAGUGCUGAAAGCAUCUAAGCACGAAACUUGCCCCGAGAUGAGUUCUCCCUGAGACUUUAGGUCUCCUGAAGGAACGUUGAAGACGACGACGUUGAUAGGCCGGGUGUGUAAGCGCAGCGAUGCGUUGAGCUAACCGGUACUAAUGAACCGUGAGGCUUAACCUUACAACGCCGAAG